AAAUCCCAGAGCUCAACUCUGGAACUGCCAUUGAUACUGAAGGUCUUGAAAUUUAGUUGAGGUGGGCGGAAUACGUUAUGUAGCGGUGAAAUGCAUAGAUAUAACGUAGAACACCGAUUGCGAAGGCAGCUCACUAAGCUAACAUUGACGCUGAUGGACGAAAGCGUGGGGAGCGAACAGGAUUAGAUACCCUGGUAGUCCACGCCGUAAACGAUGAUUACUCGUUGUGCACGAUACACUGUGCGUGACUGAGCGAAAGCAUUAAGUAAUCCACCUGGGGAGUACGUUCGCAAGAAUGAAACUCAAAGGAAUUGACGGGGGCCCGCACAAGCGGAGGAACAUGUGGUUUAAUUCGAUGAUACGCGAGGAACCUUACCUGGACUUAAAUGUAGAUUGACCGGUUUAGAAAUAGAUCUUCCCUUCGGGGCAAUUUACAAGGUGCUGCAUGGUUGUCGUCAGCUCGUGCCGUGAGGUGUCGGGUUAAGUCCCAUAACGAGCGCAACCCCUAUCGUUAGUUGCUAGCAGGUAAUGCUGAGGACUCUAGCGAGACUGCCACCGUAAGGUGAGAGGAAGGUGGGGAUGACGUCAAAUCAGCACGGCCCUUACGUCCAGGGCUACACACGUGUUACAAUGGCCAGUACAAAGGGCAGCUACCUGGUGACAGGAUGCUAAUCUCUAAAGCUGGUCUCAGUUCGGAUCGGAGUCUGCAACUCGACUCCGUGAAGUUGGAUUCGCUAGUAAUCGUAGAUCAGCAAUGCUACGGUGAAUACGUUCCCGGGCCUUGUACACACCGCCCGUCAAGCCAUGGAAGCCGAGGGGACCUGAAGUUCGUAACCGCAAGGAGCGACCUAGGGUAAAAUUGGUAACUAGGGCUAA
Molecule: ribosomal RNA, 876 nt
Filed under: Bacteroidales bacterium
Lineage: Bacteria; Pseudomonadati; Bacteroidota; Bacteroidia; Bacteroidales
Description: bacterial SSU rRNA
Rfam family: Bacterial small subunit ribosomal RNA
Source: RNAcentral